Capsella rubella is the source of this 650-nucleotide long non-coding RNA. RefSeq lists it as uncharacterized. The transcript is spliced from 2 exons. Lineage: Eukaryota; Viridiplantae; Streptophyta; Magnoliopsida; Brassicales; Brassicaceae. The record is from RefSeq and is a predicted model, not a curated record.
AAAACAUUUUAUUAAAUGAAUAAAAAGUUUACAAACCUUUUUAAUCAUAUGAGAAGAUGUCCAAAUUUAGUCCAUAUAUUGUAUGGUAAUAAAAUUACAUUAAUGUAGAAUUUUUAACUAUUCUGGAGCUUGUUUUGUAAUGUAGAAUUUUGAUAAAUUGUAUGGUAAUAAGAUUACAUUAAUCUGGUCAUUUCUCUUUACAUAAUCCCUUUAGCAACAAAGUGAACAAGUAAAGGAAGAUGUUUUAUGGUAGCUCUUUUCCACCUGGUCCGAUAUCCCUCCUUCCGACGUCGCCUUAACCAUAACCAUCUGGUUCAUCGAGCCGAACCUCCCAAAACCCAGACGAAACGCAAAAAGCAAGAGAGAGAGAUGAGAAAAUCUAGAGAUCUUCAAGAUCCAGCAGCGAUCGGAGAAAAGUUGGAUCGGAGGAAAAUGAGUCGAUUUGGGUUGCGCCACGUGGGAUAAGACUCGAGUCCAAAAGCUUCUUACCCAACAAGCGGAUGCAUCUUACAAUUCUACUGUUUUCAUUUUUUGGACUUUAAAUAAUGCCAUAAUCCCCUCGAAGAUAUACCGAUAAUUAUGGCCUUACUAGUAACUUCCUGCUUAAUGUUAAAAGUAAACACAAAGCCUAAAAGAUUUCAUAUUAAUUA